RNAcentral lists this long non-coding RNA (253 nucleotides) under Homo sapiens (human). Its description in RNAcentral is "HSALNT0232841". Lineage: Eukaryota; Metazoa; Chordata; Mammalia; Primates; Hominidae. The record is from RNAcentral.
CUGGGGUUUGGCUGUAGCCACAAGUGGGGCCUCUGCAUGUCUCCUGUGGCUGAGCCAUCCCCUGUAGAGCAAGGGGGUGGUGGAUGGCGGGCCUGGGAAGAGGAGGAAGAGCCUAGAAGGGGAAAAAGGAGAGGAGGCAGCACGGGACCAAGCACAAGGCUGAGUGAGUGCCACAGAGGAAUCUAGGAGAAAGGCUGCUGGGUGGUGGAGGACGCCGAAGGCUGAACGCGGGAGUGCUGAACACAUGCCCUCG